GACGAACGCUGGCGGCGUGCUUAACACAUGCAAGUCGAACGGAAAGGCCCUGCUUUUGUGGGGUGCUCGAGUGGCGAACGGGUGAGUAACACGUGAGUAACCUGCCCUUGACUUUGGGAUAACUUCAGGAAACUGGGGCUAAUACCGGAUAGGAGCUCCUGCUGCAUGGUGGGGGUUGGAAAGUUUCGGCGGUUGGGGAUGGACUCGCGGCUUAUCAGCUUGUUGGUGGGGUAGUGGCUUACCAAGGCUUUGACGGGUAGCCGGCCUGAGAGGGUGACCGGCCACAUUGGGACUGAGAUACGGCCCAGACUCCUACGGGAGGCAGCAGUGGGGAAUAUUGCACAAUGGGCGGAAGCCUGAUGCAGCAACGCCGCGCGCGGGAUGACGGCCUUCGGGUUGUAAACCGCUUUCGCCUGUGACGAAGCGUGAGUGACGGUAAUGGGUAAAGAAGCACCGGCUAACUACGUGCCAGCAGCCGCGGUGAUACGUAGGGUGCGAGCGUUGUCCGGAUUUAUUGGGCGUAAAGGGCUCGUAGGUGGUUGAUCGCGUCGGAAGUGUAAUCUUGGGGCUUAACCCUGAGCGUGCUUUCGAUACGGGUUGACUUGAGGAAGGUAGGGGAGAAUGGAAUUCCUGGUGGAGCGGUGGAAUGCGCAGAUAUCAGGAGGAACACCAGUGGCGAAGGCGGUUCUCUGGGCCUUUCCUGACGCUGAGGAGCGAAAGCGUGGGGAGCGAACAGGCUUAGAUACCCUGGUAGUCCACGCUGUAAACGGUGGGUACUAGGUGUGGGGUCCAUUCCACGGGUUCCGUGCCGUAGCUAACGCUUUAAGUACCCCGCCUGGGGAGUACGGCCGCAAGGCUAAAACUCAAAGGAAUUGACGGGGCCCCGCACAAGCGGCGGAGCAUGCGGAUUAAUUCGAUGCAACGCGUAGAACCUUACCUGGGUUUGACAUGGAUCGGGAGCGCUCAGAGAUGGGUGUGCCUCUUUUGGGGUCGGUUCACAGGUGGUGCAUGGCUGUCGUCAGCUCGUGUCGUGAGAUGUUGGGUUAAGUCCCGCAACGAGCGCAACCCUUGUUCACUGUUGCCAGCACGUUAUGGUGGGGACUCAGUGGAGACCGCCGGGGUCAACUCGGAGGAAGGUGGGGAUGACGUCAAGUCAUCAUGCCCCUUAUGUCCAGGGCUUCACGCAUGCUACAAUGGCUGGUACAGAGAGUGGCGAGCCUGUGAGGGUGAGCGAAUCUCGGAAAGCCGGUCUCAGUUCGGAUUGGGGUCUGCAACUCGACCUCAUGAAGUCGGAGUCGCUAGUAAUCGCAGAUCAGCAACGCUGCGGUGAAUACGUUCCCGGG
This 1343-nucleotide ribosomal RNA is filed under the name uncultured bacterium. RNAcentral describes it as "16S ribosomal RNA". It matches the Rfam family "Bacterial small subunit ribosomal RNA", at positions 28 to 1378 of the family's 1533-position model. The record is from RNAcentral.